GUCAGCUCGUGUCGUGAGAUGUUGGGUUAAGUCCCGCAACGAGCGCAACCCUUAUAUUUAGUUGCCAGCACUUCGGGUGGGCACUCUAGAUAGACUGCCGGUGACAAACCGGAGGAAGGUGGGGAUGACGUCAAAUCAUCAUGCCCCUUAUGACCUGGGCUACACACGUACUACAAUGGCCGGUACAACGGGCUGCGAAAUCGCGAGAUGGAGCCAAUCCCAACAAAGCCGGUCUCAGUUCGGAUUGCAGGCUGCAACUCGCCUGCAUGAAGUCGGAAUUGCUAGUAAUCGCGGAUCAGCAUGCCGCGGU
RNAcentral lists this ribosomal RNA (310 nucleotides) under Paenibacillus sp. Expt2_482I5_P16WB_C08. RNAcentral describes it as "bacterial SSU rRNA". It matches the Rfam family "Bacterial small subunit ribosomal RNA", at positions 1054 to 1363 of the family's 1533-position model. The record is from RNAcentral. Lineage: Bacteria; Bacillati; Bacillota; Bacilli; Caryophanales; Paenibacillaceae. RNAcentral also lists the same sequence under 1 other name.